Molecule: ribosomal RNA, 495 nt
Filed under: uncultured bacterium
Lineage: Bacteria
Description: partial 16S ribosomal RNA
Rfam family: Bacterial small subunit ribosomal RNA
Source: RNAcentral
GACGAACGCUGGCGGCGUGCCUAAUACAUGCAAGUAGAACGCUGAAGGAGGAGCUUGCUUCUCCGGAUGAGUUGCGAACGGGUGAGUAACGCGUAGGUAACCUGCCUGGUAGCGGGGGAUAACUAUUGGAAACGAUAGCUAAUACCGCAUAAGAGUAGAUGUCGCAUGACAUUUGCUUAAAAGGUGCAACUGCACCACUACCAGAUGGACCUGCGUUGUAUUAGCUAGUUGGUGAGGUAACGGCUCACCAAGGCAACGAUACAUAGCCGACCUGAGAGGGUGAGCGGCCACACUGGGAAUGAGACACGGCCCAGACUCCUACGGGAGGCAGCAGUAGGGAAUCUUCGGCAAUGGACGGAAGUCUGACCGAGCAACGCCGCGUGAGUGAAGAAGGUUUUCGGAUCGUAAAGCUCUGUUGUAAGAGAAGAACGAGUGUGAGAGUGGAAAGUUCACACUGUGACGGUAUCUUACCAGAAAGGGACGGCUAACUACGUG